CAGGAUGUAGCUUAUAUGAAAAGCUUUUUAUUUACAUUAAAAUUAAAAUUAAUUAUUUUUUCUGA
Molecule: transfer RNA, 65 nt
Filed under: Typhlocybinae gen. 1 sp. 1 BY-2021a
Lineage: Eukaryota; Metazoa; Arthropoda; Insecta; Hemiptera; Cicadellidae
Description: tRNA-Val
Source: RNAcentral